AUGGAAGAGGAGAAGGCCUUUCCCAUUGACUCGUCAGGUUUCGAGUUCUUCAUCAUCAUGCUCUCCAAGUCCUUGAAGAAACUGAGGAUGCCAGACAAGUUCGCCAAGGUGCUCGCCGGACGUGAGCCCCGGGAAGUGAAGCUGCGGGAGGCCGGCAGCGGGCGCCGCAGCCUGUGGGACGUGAAGGUGGUGCUGGACGCCGACGGCCACAUGUACCUAGGGCGCGGCUGGGAGCAGUUCGCCCGCGCGCACGACCUGCGGCUCGGCUACUUCCUCGUGUUCAGCUUCGACGGCGACGCCGUGCUCACCGUCAAGGUGUUCGACAUGAGCAUGUGCCGCAGGCACUACCAGCGCGACGACGAUGCCAGUACGGGUGGCACCAGUUCCUGGUGGACAACCGCCUCACCGUCGGCGACACCUGCUUCUUCCGCGCGCUCCGCGGGAGCGACGGCGAGGACCACGAGCUCAAGGUGCAGGUCCGCAAGCUGGACGGCUCCUUCGUGGAGUGAUCGGUGCGGGCGAUCAAGUGUAUCAGCCGUACGGCGUUGGCGUGCUCAUCACCGGCAUGCAUGGCACAACGAUGAGGAGAAUGGAGUUGUUUACUUUUUCCAGUAG
RNAcentral lists this ribosomal RNA (615 nucleotides) under Triticum aestivum (bread wheat). Its description in RNAcentral is "partial small subunit ribosomal RNA". Lineage: Eukaryota; Viridiplantae; Streptophyta; Magnoliopsida; Poales; Poaceae. The record is from RNAcentral.